GGCUGUAGCUCAGUGGCAGAGCACUUGCCUAGCACGUGUGAGGCACUGGGUUAGAUCCUCAGCACCA
RNAcentral lists this transfer RNA (67 nucleotides) under Marmota monax (woodchuck). RNAcentral's name for it is "tRNA.Ala". The record is from RNAcentral. Lineage: Eukaryota; Metazoa; Chordata; Mammalia; Rodentia; Sciuridae.